This 433-nucleotide ribosomal RNA is filed under the name uncultured bacterium. RNAcentral's name for it is "partial 16S ribosomal RNA". It matches the Rfam family "Bacterial small subunit ribosomal RNA", at positions 29 to 507 of the family's 1533-position model. The record is from RNAcentral.
AACGAACGCUGGCGGCAGGCCUAACACAUGCAAGUCGAGCGACGACUCCGGUCCUAGCGGCGGACGGGUGAGUCACGCGUGGGAACGUGCCCUUUGCCUCGGAAUAGCCCUGGGAAACUGGGAGUAACACCGGAUGAGUUCCUCGGGGGCAAGAUUCAUCGGCGAAGGAUCGGCCCGCGUUGGUUUAGGUAGUUGGUGGGGUAAUGGCCUACCAAGCCGACGAUCCAUAGCUGGUUUGAGAGGAUGAGCAGCCACACUGGGACUGGGACACGGCCCAGACUCCUACGCGAGGGAGGAGUGGGGGAUCUUAGACAAUGGCGGGAACGCUGAUCUAGCCAUGCUGCGUGAGCGAUGAAGUCCUGAGGGUUGUACAGCUCUUUAAGCUGGGAAGAUACUGACGGUACCAGAAGAAGAAGCCCCGGCUAACUCCGUG